GUGGGGAAUAUUGCGCAAUGGGGGAAACCCUGACGCAGCAACGCCGCGUGAAGGAUGAAGGUUUUCGGAUUGUAAACUUCUUUGAUGAGGGACGAACAAAAUGACGGUACCUCAAAAACAAGCCACGGCUAACUACGUGCCAGCAGCCGCGGUAAUACGUAGGUGGCGAGCGUUGUCCGGAAUUACUGGGUGUAAAGGGCGUGUAGGCGGGACUGUAAGUCAGAUGUGAAAUUCUGAGGCUUAACCUCAGCGCUGCAUCUGAAACUGCGGUUCUUGAGUAUCGGAGAGGAAAGUGGAAUUCCCAGUGUAGCGGUGAAAUGCGUAGAUAUUGGGAGGAACACCAGUGGCGAAGGCGACUUUCUGGACGAUAACUGACGCUGAGGCGCGAAAGCGUGGGGAGCAAACAGGAUUAGAUACCCUGGUAGUCC
This 428-nucleotide ribosomal RNA is filed under the name uncultured bacterium. Its description in RNAcentral is "bacterial SSU rRNA". It matches the Rfam family "Bacterial small subunit ribosomal RNA", at positions 354 to 796 of the family's 1533-position model. The record is from RNAcentral.